This 228-nucleotide ribosomal RNA is filed under the name uncultured bacterium. RNAcentral describes it as "partial 16S ribosomal RNA". It matches the Rfam family "Bacterial small subunit ribosomal RNA", at positions 568 to 795 of the family's 1533-position model. The record is from RNAcentral.
UGCGCAGGCGGGCUUGUAAGUCAGUGGUGAAAUACUGCCGCUUAACGGUAGAACUGCCAUUGAUACUGCGAGUCUUGAAUAUGGUUGAGGUAGGCGGAAUGUGUUGUGUAGCGGUGAAAUGCAUAGAUAUGACACAGAACGCCGAUUGCGAAGGCAGCUUACUAAGCCAUUACUGACGCUGAGGCACGAAAGCGUGGGGAGCGAACAGGAUUAGAUACCCUGGUAGUC